GAGAGCUGCCGCCGCGGCCGGCCGGCGACGCUGGCGACGCUUUCGCCCCUGAGGUAGUUUGGCGACCGCGAAGAAGGAAAAAGGGCGGGCGGGCGGCUGUCCUCUCACCGUCCUCACCCCGCGAGGCCCGGCCCGCUCCUCCGUCGUGGAUUUCGCGGCGAUCCCCCCGGCAGCUCUUUGCAAAGCUGCUUGAAACUUCUCCCAAACUCGGCAUGGAUACGACUGCGGCGGCGGCGCUGCCUGCUUUUGUGGCGCUCUUGCUCCUCUCUCCUUGGCCUCUCCUGGGAUCGGCCCAAGGCCAGUUCUCCGCAGCUUCGCUUGGCUGGCGAGCGCAUCUGCUGCUGGGGUUCGCGGUGCAGAUGGAGACGCAGUGGUGGCCAGAGGGUGAUGGAGAAGACGGGAAAAGCGACAGCCACGCUCCUGGCUGAAGCCGCAGGACGCAAAUAACUUACUUUGUACCUGACAGUUUCUCACGUUGUUGUGGAGGCCCUGUUUCCUGGAAAUAAACUCAAAUUGUUGUUUUCUG
This 526-nucleotide long non-coding RNA is filed under the name Homo sapiens (human). RNAcentral's name for it is "protein tyrosine phosphatase receptor type K (ENSG00000273993.4)". Lineage: Eukaryota; Metazoa; Chordata; Mammalia; Primates; Hominidae. The record is from RNAcentral.